CUCCGGUUGAUCCCGCCGGACCCGACUGCUAUCAGAGUGAGAUUAGGCCAUGCGAGUUAACGUAGCAAUACGUGGCGCACGGCUCAGUAACACGUAGUCAACAUGCCCAGAGGACGUGGAUAACCUCGGGAAACUGAGUCUAAACCGCGAUAAGUGAGGAUUUCUGGAAUGGUUCCUGACUAAAAUCUAUAUGGCCUCUGGAUUGGACUGCGGCCGAUCAGGCUGUUGGUGAGGUAAUGGCCCACCAAACCUGUAACCGGUACGGGCUCUGAGAGGAGGAGCCCGGAGAUGGGCACUGAGACAAGGGCCCAGGCCCUAUGGGGCGCAGCAGGCGCGAAACCUCUGCAAUAGGCGAAAGCCUGACAGGGUUACUCUGAGUGACUUUCGCUAAGAAAGUCUUUUGGCACCUCUAAAAAGGGUGCAGAAUAAGGGGUGGGCAAGUCUGGUGUCAGCCGCCGCGGUAAUACCAGCACCCCGAGUGGUCGGGACGAUUAUUGGGCCUAAAGCAUCCGUAGCCGGUUCUGCAAGUCCCCCGUUAAAUCCAGCUGCUCAACAGAUGGGCCGCGGAGGAUACUACAGAGCUAGGAGGCAGGAGAGGCAAGCGGUACUCAGUGGGUAGGGGUAAAAUCCGUUGAUCCAUUGAAGACCACCAGUGGCGAAGGCGGCUUGCCAGAAUGCGCUCGACGGUGAGGGAUGAAAGCUGGGGGAGCAAACCGGAUUAGAUACCCGGGUAGUCCCAGCCGUAAACGAUGCAGACUCGGUGAUGAGUUGGCUUAUUGCUAACUCAGUGCCGCAGGGAAGCCGUUAAGUUUGCCGCCUGGGGAGUACGGUCGCAAGACUGAAACUUAAAGGGAUUGGCGGGGGAGCA
RNAcentral lists this ribosomal RNA (868 nucleotides) under uncultured archaeon. RNAcentral describes it as "bacterial SSU rRNA". It matches the Rfam family "Archaeal small subunit ribosomal RNA", at positions 1 to 878 of the family's 1478-position model. The record is from RNAcentral.